RNAcentral lists this ribosomal RNA (497 nucleotides) under uncultured bacterium. RNAcentral describes it as "partial 16S ribosomal RNA". It matches the Rfam family "Bacterial small subunit ribosomal RNA", at positions 28 to 507 of the family's 1533-position model. The record is from RNAcentral.
GACGAACGCUGGCGGCGUGCCUAAUACAUGCAAGUUGAGCGAUGAAGAUUGGUGCUUGCACCAAUUUGAAGAGCAGCGAACGGGUGAGUAACGCGUGGGGAAUCUGCCUUUGAGCGGGGGACAACAUUUGGAAACGAAUGCUAAUACCGCAUAACAACUUUAAACAUAAGUUUUAAGUUUGAAAGAUGCAAUUGCAUCACUCAAAGAUGAUCCCGCGUUGUAUUAGCUAGUUGGUGAGGUAAAGGCUCACCAAGGCGAUGAUACAUAGCCGACCUGAGAGGGUGAUCGGCCACAUUGGGACUGAGACACGGCCCAAACUCCUACGGGAGGCAGCAGUAGGGAAUCUUCGGCAAGAGACGAAAGUCUGACCGAGCAACGCCGCGUGAGUGAAGAAGGUUGUCGGAUCGUAAAACUCUGUUGGUAGAGAAGAACGUUGGUGAGAGUGGAAAGCUCAUCAAGUGACGGUAACUACCCAGAAAGGGACGGCUAACUACGUG